Molecule: RNA transcript, 3250 nt
Organism: Gossypium raimondii (Peruvian cotton)
Lineage: Eukaryota; Viridiplantae; Streptophyta; Magnoliopsida; Malvales; Malvaceae
Gene name: protein STRUBBELIG-RECEPTOR FAMILY 3
Exons: 18
Source: RefSeq, a predicted model, not a curated record
ACAAUUUAUCUUCUUAUUUCUGCUUUUUCAUUUCACAAAUUCAUGGAAAUUGGAACCUUAGCAUCUAAGUUUUUACUCCAUAUUUAUUUAUUUAUUUAUGGUUAAAAAAGAAAAGAAAAUAUAUACAACUUUUGUGACUGGAAGUUCUUCCCCACUUUUCUCUUCCUUAUUGGCCAAAUUUACUUCAAAUUCGCCUUCUCACAUUUCUCUAAAACUUUCUGCCUCUUCUUCUUCCAAAUUGGAAGUUUCUUGUUUUGUGAUUAAUGGUGUGAAGAUUUGGAAUAUAGACGGAUAUUUUUGGAGUUUUGUUUAGAGAUCAAUGAGUAGUAAGAGAUCUGGUAUGGAAUGGAAGAAUUUAAACAUCUUUUUGGGAUUUUUGCUGAUCUAUGCAGCUAGGAUUUCGUUUGGACUCACCAAUCCUAGUGAUGUUGCUGCGAUUAAUAGCUUAUAUGCUGCAUUGGGCUCUCCCCUUCUCCCUGGAUGGAUUGCUUCCGGCGGAGACCCCUGUGCUGAAGCAUGGCAAGGCGUACAAUGUAAUGGUUCGGACAUAAUGAGCAUAGUUCUAAAUGGUGCUAAUUUGGGUGGACAACUGGGUGACAACCUUGGAAUGUUUGCUUCUAUUAAGGCAAUAGAUUUGAGCAACAACCAGAUCGGGGGAAAUAUUCCAUCCAAUUUGCCUGUUACCAUGCAAAACUUUUUUCUUUCAGCCAAUCAGUUCAGUGGAAGCAUCCCGGAUUCACUAUCUUCUUUGACCAUGUUGACAGACAUGUCAUUGAAUAACAAUAAUUUGAGUGGAGAGAUACCAGAUGCCUUUCAAUCGCUUUCUGGAUUGAUCAAUCUGGAUUUGUCCAACAACAAAUUGAGUGGAUCUCUGCCACCAUCAAUGGAAAAUUUGUCUAGUCUAACUACCCUACGUUUGCAGGCCAAUCAGCUGUCUGGGACGCUAGAUGUUCUACAAGAUCUUCCCCUAAGAGAUUUGAACAUAGAAAAUAAUCUUUUCAAUGGACCCAUUCCUGAGAAGAUGCUGAGCAUCCCAAGCUUCAAAAACGAUGGAAAUCCAUUUAAUUCCACUGUUGCUCCUUUGCCUGGUCCUACAUCACCAUUAGCACCACCGCAUGCGCCACCACAUUCUGUAGUUCCAGCUUCUGGUCAAACACCAACAUCUGAUCAAACACCAGGGAAACAUGCUGAUGGGCCUUCUGCAUCGGAGGGAUCUAAUUCUAGUCAGAAAAAGAAUUUCUUAACUACUAAAAGGGUGGUGUGGAUAUCAAUUGCAAGUGUUUUGUUGUUUAUAAUAUUAGCUUUAGCACUUCUGCUUUUUAUGCCCAAGUGUAGCAGGGGAAGGGAAGAGGCUGGUGGGAUUUUCAAACGGCAUCAAGUAGGUGCAUAUAGAGGAAACAGAGAGAACAUUGUUGGGGAUGCGCCCUUAACCACCACAGCCAGUCAAACAGAGAAAGGCCCAAAAGAUGCAGCUAUGAGACCAGUUGGGGGUAAUGAAACAGAGAGGGGAAGAAUGGGGGAUAUUGCAAAGCUACCGAACAAGGAAGAGAGAUAUGUUGAAAGGAUAGGCACGACGCCAAAGAGAUUUGACCAUGAGAUAGACAUGAGUGGCUACGAUGUGAUGUUGAUGGAGCCCCCUCGUCCACCUCCUCCUCCGCCUCCGCCUCCCCCACCUCCGCCCCCUCCACCUCCUCCGGCACUUGCUGAGAAGGUCAUUUUGAAACCCAUUGUGCCUAAUGAAGUAACUGCAGGGCCUUCUGCCAAAACACCAAAGCCAUCUACAUUUGCGAGGUCGUUCACCAUUGCAGCCCUUCAACAAUAUACAAAUAGCUUUUCUCAAGAAAAUCUUUUGGGGGGUGGCAUGCUUGGAAGUGUCUAUAGGGCAGAACUUCCGGAUGGAAAGUUACUUGCAGUCAAGAAACUGGAGAAGAGAGUUGCAAGCCAGCAGAAGGAUGAUGAAUUUAUUGAACUGGUGGAAAAUAUUGAUCGUAUCCAGCAUGUAAAUGUUGUCAGGCUAAUGGGUUAUUGUGCAGAGCAUGGUCAAAAGCUUUUGAUCUAUGAGUAUUGCAGCAAUGGAUCGCUGCAGGAUGCGCUGCACUCUGAUGAUGAGUUUAAAAAGCUGCUUUCAUGGAAUACCCGUAUCCGGAUGGCUCUUGGAGCUGCUAGAGCCUUAGAGUACAUGCAUGAGGCUUGCCAGCCACCUGUAAUUCACAGAAAUUUCCAGUCUGCCAAUGUUCUCCUUGAUGAUGAUCUCGAUGUGCGUGUCUCUGAUUGUGGUUUGGCUCCAUUAAUAGCAUCAGGUUCUGUAAGUCAGUUGUCAGGACAACUACAAUCAAUUUAUGGUUAUGGAGCGCCAGAAUUUGAGUCUGGAAUUUAUACUUCUCAGAGUGAUGUUUACAGUUUUGGGGUGUUUAUGUUGGAACUCUUAACUGGCAGGAAAUCUCAUGACAGGACAAGGAGUAGAGGAGAACAAUUUCUAGUGAGAUGGGCAAUCCCACAGCUCCAUGAUAUUGAAGCAUUAUCUAGGAUGGUUGACCCUUCUCUCAAUGGAGAAUAUCCUGCUAAAGCGUUGUCACGGUUUGCUGAUAUCAUUUCUCGGUGUGUCCAGUCUGAACCAGAAUUCAGGCCACCAAUGUCUGAAGUGGUUCAAGACCUAUUGGACAUCAUACGCAGGGAGCGUCCGAGUAAUGAAUCAAUUGGAGACUGACUUGUGUUAGGCAAUACACCUGAUGAAUUAGUUUAGGAUCCGAAGUCACAGGGAUUUGAUCCAUCAGAUGUUGUGAAAACACAUCCAUUGUAAAGAGGCAGCAGCGCGAAAUUUUACAUCUGAAGCUCUUGCACAAGGUUUGGCGGUCAUUCAGUAAGAACCUCACCGCUGUGACUAGGAACAGUCUGAAUUUUCAGGUAAAAGACCAAGAGAUCCUAAUCAAUUUAUCAGUGCUAUCUACGAAUCUCUCUUGCGGCAAAUAAAGCUUGAUUUGGUUGGGCUCUGUUUGCCUGCAUGGUCAUUCAACUCUGUCAAUGGAGCUUUCUGUGAUUCUAAAUCUUCAAGGGCACUUUCUGAUCAACAGCAGAGAUAAAAAAAUGUAUAAUGGAAGUUGUUUGAUCAAAUACAUUCGCAACUUCACGAACUUUGAACUAGUUUAGAAAAUUGACUCAACGCUGUUUUGUUCUCACCAUUUUAUACACACAAAACUGUUACCUGCAAGAUAUAUCCGUAUCAACCACAUCGAUAUAAGAACUCAUGUUA